Molecule: long non-coding RNA, 1584 nt
Organism: Ooceraea biroi (clonal raider ant)
Lineage: Eukaryota; Metazoa; Arthropoda; Insecta; Hymenoptera; Formicidae
Source: RefSeq, a predicted model, not a curated record
CGUGGAAACGAUCGCAUUCGCAGUGGGGCAUAAGCUGACAUAAGCGCCGACAGGAUUCUCCUCAAGGUGAUCCACGUGCUCGAUGCUUACUUUCCGGCUGCGUAGCCCGUGAUUCUCACGAGAUAAUGAUCAGACGAUAGUGGCUGUGAACUGUGUAUUUCAGGUACUCUCCACAUGACAGUCUUGUUUUCGUUGCUUUUAAAUUAAUAUCAUCGAGAGAAGAAAGCACUUUCGUUUCUCAUUUCAAAAUUUCUCGAAUAUUGUUGGAUACUUUCACUGCUUCCUUGCUUAUUUUAAGAAAUUACUUUCUAAUAGUAAAAAGCGAAAUAUUUUGCUUCUUGAUUAUGUAUAUUUCAUAGUUUCUAGUUUAUUUCAUGAUUUCUAAUAUCGCUGAUUAAUCGCUUUAAAUCAAUGUAUUUUCUUUCUAAAUAGCAAUAAAUUAUUUUAUACAGUUUCAGUAAGAAAGACCAAAUCACUAUUUUGUUAAUGCUUUUAAAAGAUUUCCAUCCAGAGAUGCGAAUGCGGUAUUACAAUUUCCUGAGGGCGCCCAUGGGAACGUAUAUUUGCUUCGAUUUUAUGUUGGACACGGGAAUAGGAGCCGGCGAGAAAAGUUACGCGCAGGUCGACACGAUGAUGGCGUCGUCAACGUCUUCGCAUUAACAUGUUGCUUUACGCGCCGUCGAAUCCAGCCUUCUCUCGACACAUUACGAGUGAUUUAAAGGCGAUUGAUCGGAGAGAACGAGUGCGAUUAGUGAUAAAAGAGAAUAAAACAGUGAUGAUCAGACAUUACACUCGCGUAAUGCUGCAUUUCAUGAUCGUAGAGAUGCGUUUGACAUAGUUGAAAGUUGAUGAUAAUUAUGAAAAAAUGAUAAUACAUGUUGCCAUGUGUAAUUAUAUAAAUCUGUUGAAGAUUUUGAAGAUAACUGAGAAUUAUGUAAUCCAUUCGAUGUGCCUUCAUCAUAUAAUAUAAUAUAUAUUUUAUUACAUAAUAUCGUUAAAAUCAAAUAGUAGAUAUUCUCACUUAAUUCGCUGAAAGAUCGAAGAAAUAAUGAAUUCUCUGCACAACGAAAAAAUCACGAGGAAUAAUUCAUAAAAAUUAUAGGUUAAUGUUUACUUAAGCGAGUAAAUGAGAAGUUUUAAAGGCUGCAUGUGCAAAAAUGCAUCGCCGUCAGCAAUAAAAAUAUCACAAAAAAGUGGCAAUUUACUGAUGAUCUGACUCAUUACGACAGUUCUAAGAAUUUUAGCUAAUGACCAAGUACAAUUUUCAACAUCUCAAUCAAUCUGUCACUUGUGUCACAUGGAUAAGAGAGUAAGUUUUGGCAAGUUUCCAUGGACUGUGUGUAAAAUCGACCCAGGCGAUAUCUGCCGGACUGCGAUGCUGCACGAAGAAACUAUAAGUAGAGGUAAAAGUAGGUUGCAAGAAGAUCUAUUACGAUAUUUCGAAGAAAGUAUCAUCUAGACGAUACAUACACGUUUCUUCGCGUUUCUCUUUGUGGUCCACGAGUCUUUUCAAUUUGAACAGUCGAGUUAGUUUGAUGAAAUUUCGAAAUAAAGCAUAAUGCUAUAUUAAUAAAUACACACUGA